AGUGAACGCUGGCGGUAGGCCUAACACAUGCAAGUCGAACGGCAGCACAGUAAGAGCUUGCUCUUACGGGUGGCGAGUGGCGGACGGGUGAGGAAUACAUCGGAAUCUACUUUUUCGUGGGGGAUAACGUAGGGAAACUUACGCUAAUACCGCAUACGACCUACGGGUGAAAGCAGGGGAUCUUCGGACCUUUCGCGAUUGAAUGAGCCGAUGUCGGAUUAGCUAGUUGGCGGGGUAAAGGCCCACCAAGGCGACGAUCCGUAGCUGGUAUGAGAGGAUGAUCAGCCACACUGGAACUGAGACACGGUCCAGACUCCUGCGGGAGGCAGCAGUGGGGAAUAUUGGACAAUGGGCGCAAGCCUGAUCCAGCCAUACCGCGUGGGUGAAGAAGGCGUUCGGGUUGUAAAGCCCUUUUGUUGGGAAAGAAAAGCAGCAGGUUAAUACCCCGCUGUUCUGACGGUACCCAAAGAAUAAGCACCGGCUAACUUCGUG
RNAcentral lists this ribosomal RNA (492 nucleotides) under uncultured bacterium. RNAcentral's name for it is "partial 16S ribosomal RNA". It matches the Rfam family "Bacterial small subunit ribosomal RNA", at positions 29 to 507 of the family's 1533-position model. The record is from RNAcentral.